GGGAGCUGGAACAGGAGCAAGAGACAGUGGCAAAGCCCAGCUGGUGGUAGAGACAGACAGGGACGGCAGAUGAGCGCCCCCUACCUGCACCGAGCCCCCAGGGUUCCCACCGCCUCUGGGCUCAGUGUACUUCAGAUGGAACUCUGACUAUCUCCAGAUCAAAACAAUCAGUUCCUCUGAUAGUGAUUGUAAAUCCUUUGGGGUCAAGAAGCUGCAGACCUGGUGAUGGUGAGUCCAGUAAGGCUAAAGCGAGCUUUUAACCCAAACAUCAUAGAAGCUACAGUGUGAUGUGGGCAGAACAGAAGUCCUCCCUCCAUCCUUAAAGCAGGCCUCUCCAGCCUCCCGUGACUACUGGCCACCCGUCUGGGAGCUGCAGCCCAGCUAGGGAAUCAAGCGAGGGCCUCAUCCAUGGCCCCCUGCAAGCUGGACCAGCCCAGCUAGUGCUCCAUCGCUUCAGCCCCAGCAGCCCGGAGGCGGGUGCAUGGGCACAGGGUGAGGCAGGGCAUCUGCUCCUUGGCUGCCCGGCCGUGAGCAGCAUGCAAGCCUGCAGUUGGCCAGCUUCCCCCAAUCAAGCCCAGCUUGACCAAACUCCAAUCACUUUAAUAAGGAAAAACCACCCAAACCCGAUCCUGGAGGAAGUCGGUACAUCCGUGUUAAGAAAGCAUUAAGCCAUUCUUGCUCAGGCUGUGUUUCUUUGGAUGUUAUUAAUUUUUAUGAAGGUGCUUUUAUUAUCAAUGGCCAUUAUUAUGCUUUUCUACACUUACAAUGGAACCCCUUUCUGCUCUUCAUACGCAUUGGGG
Long non-coding RNA from Canis lupus familiaris (dog), 800 nucleotides. RefSeq lists it as uncharacterized. The record is from RefSeq and is a predicted model, not a curated record. The transcript has 3 exons. Lineage: Eukaryota; Metazoa; Chordata; Mammalia; Carnivora; Canidae.